Molecule: unclassified non-coding RNA, 1026 nt
Filed under: Hevea brasiliensis (rubber tree)
Lineage: Eukaryota; Viridiplantae; Streptophyta; Magnoliopsida; Malpighiales; Euphorbiaceae
Source: RNAcentral
GAACUUUAUUGCUAUGACUGAUACUUCUCUUCCUAUCCAAAGGUUAUUGGGAAAAGUUGCUUUAGUCACUGGAGGGGCAACUGGCAUAGGAGAGAGCAUAGUACGUCUAUUUCAUAAGCAUGGUGCAAAAGUAUGCAUUGCUGAUAUUCAAGAUGAAGUUGGACAGCAUGUUUGUGAGACCCUUGGUAAUGACCAGAAUGUGUGCUUUAUCCACUGUGAUGUGACUGUAGAAGCUGAUAUUAGUAAUGCAGUUGAUUUUACGGUUCAAAAGUUUGGUACACUUGACAUAAUGGUUAAUAAUGCCGGGUUGUCUGGGCCCCCUAUUGGAGAUAUCCGUGAAUAUGAACUUUCUGUGUUUGAAAAUGUGCUUGACGUGAACUUGAAAGGUACUUUCCUUGGAAUGAAGCAUGCUGCUCGCAUAAUGAUACCACUAAAGAAGGGAGCAAUAGUAUCUCUGUGCAGUGUGGCAAGUGCCAUUGGUGGAGUCGGACCUCAUGGUUAUACAGCUUCCAAGUAUGCUGUUUUGGGACUUACACAGAACGUUGCAGCUGAGUUGGGAAAACACGGUGUACGUGUGAAUUGUGUUUCUCCUUAUGCAGUUCCAACUGGAUUAGCUCUGGCUCACUUGCCUGAGGAUGAGAAGACUGAUGAUGCAAUGGAAGGUUUUCGUGAUUUUGCUGCCAGGAAUGCUAACUUGCAGGGGGUGGAAUUGACGGUUGAUGAUGUUGCUAAUGCCGUGCUUUUCUUAGCCAGUGAUGAAUCAAGGUAUAUAAGUGGGCAUAAUCUGAUGGUCGAUGGUGGUUUCUCGUGUGUUAAUCACUCCCUUCGGGUCUUCAGAUAGCUGUAUGUUGAUCGAUCUUAUUGGGAACUUUCAAGAGAUUGUCAUCCUGUUUGUGAUUUUUCCAUUCAAACAAACCUGCUUAUGUUUCCAAAGCACUAUGCUAAAACAAAAAAACUAGACUUAUAAAAUCGCCCGGGCCUGACCCCCUUUGUGAGGAGUUGCUUUGCAAUUUGUGUUGAACUCCA